RNAcentral lists this ribosomal RNA (615 nucleotides) under uncultured yeast. Its description in RNAcentral is "eukaryotic LSU rRNA". It matches the Rfam family "Eukaryotic large subunit ribosomal RNA", at positions 38 to 667 of the family's 3401-position model. Lineage: Eukaryota; Fungi. The record is from RNAcentral.
GCAUAUCAAUAAGCGGAGGAAAAGAAACCAACCGGGAUUGCCUUAGUAACGGCGAGUGAAGCGGCAAAAGCUCAAAUUUGAAAUCUGGUACCUUCGGUGCCCGAGUUGUAAUUUGGAGAGGGCAACUUUGGGGCCGUUCCUUGUCUAUGUUCCUUGGAACAGGACGUCAUAGAGGGUGAGAAUCCCGUGUGGCGAGGAGUGCGGUUCUUUGUAAAGUGCCUUCGAAGAGUCGAGUUGUUUGGGAAUGCAGCUCUAAGUGGGUGGUAAAUUCCAUCUAAAGCUAAAUAUUGGCGAGAGACCGAUAGCGAACAAGUACAGUGAUGGAAAGAUGAAAAGAACUUUGAAAAGAGAGUGAAAAAGUACGUGAAAUUGUUGAAAGGGAAGGGCAUUUGAUCAGACAUGGUGUUUUGUGCCCUCCGCUCCUUGUGGGUAGGGGAAUCUCGCAUUUCACUGGGCCAGCAUCAGUUUUGGUGGCAGGAUAAAUCCAUAGGAAUGUAGCUUGCCUCGGUAAGUAUUAUAGCCUGUGGGAAUACUGCCAGCUGGGACUGAGGACUGCGACGUAAGUCAAGGAUGCUGGCAUAAUGGUUAUAUGCCGCCCGUCUUGAAACACGGACC